RNAcentral lists this ribosomal RNA (552 nucleotides) under Variovorax paradoxus. RNAcentral's name for it is "bacterial SSU rRNA". It matches the Rfam family "Bacterial small subunit ribosomal RNA", at positions 340 to 876 of the family's 1533-position model. The record is from RNAcentral. Lineage: Bacteria; Pseudomonadati; Pseudomonadota; Betaproteobacteria; Burkholderiales; Comamonadaceae.
AACCGGGAAAGGCAGCAGUGGGGGAAUUUUGGGACAAUGGGCGCAAGCCCUGAAUCCAGCCUAUGCCUGCUGUGCAGGGAUGAAGGCCUUCGGGUUGUAAACUGCUUUUGUACGGAACGAAAAAGCUCUCUCUAAUACAGGGGGUGAAUGACGGUACCGUAAGAAUAAGCACCGGCUAACUACGUGCCAGCAGCCGCGGUAAUACGUAGGGUGCAAGCGUUAAUCGGAAUUACUGGGCGUAAAGCGUGCGCAGGCGGUUAUGUAAGACAGAGGUGAAAUCCCCGGGCUCAACCUGGGAACUGCCUUUGUGACUGCAUAGCUGGAGUGCGGCAGAGGGGGAUGGAAUUCCGCGUGUAGCAGUGAAAUGCGUAGAUAUGCGGAGGAACACCGAUGGCGAAGGCAAUCCCUGGGCCUGCACUGACGCUCAUGCACGAAAGCGUGGGGAGCAAACAGGAUUAGAUACCUGGUAGUCCACGCCCUAAACGAUGUCAACCUGGUUGUUUGGGUCUUCACUGACUCAGUAACGAAGCUAACGCGUGAAGUGCCGCCUGG